UACGUAGGGUGCAAGCGUUGUCCGGAAUUAUUGGGCGUAAAGGGCUCGUAGGCGGCGUGUCGCGUCGGGAGUGAAAGACCGGGGCUUAACCCCGGUUCUGCUUCCGGUACGGGCAUGCUGGAGUGUGGCAGGGGAGACUGGAAUUCCUGGUGUAGCGGUGGAAUGCGCAGAUAUCAGGAGGAACACCGGUGGCGAAGGCGGGUCUCUGGGCCAUUACUGACGCUGAGGAGCGAAAGCGUGGGGAGCGAACAGG
This 253-nucleotide ribosomal RNA is filed under the name uncultured bacterium. Its description in RNAcentral is "partial 16S ribosomal RNA". It matches the Rfam family "Bacterial small subunit ribosomal RNA", at positions 524 to 776 of the family's 1533-position model. The record is from RNAcentral.